This 253-nucleotide ribosomal RNA is filed under the name uncultured bacterium. Its description in RNAcentral is "partial 16S ribosomal RNA". It matches the Rfam family "Bacterial small subunit ribosomal RNA", at positions 524 to 776 of the family's 1533-position model. The record is from RNAcentral.
UACGAAGGGGGCUAGCGUUGUUCGGAAUUACUGGGCGUAAAGCGCACGUAGGCGGAUUUGUAAGUCAGGGGUGAAAUCCCGGGGCUCAACCUCGGAACUGCCUUUGAUACUGCAAGUCUUGAGUCCGGAAGAGGUGAGUGGAAUUCCUAGUGUAGAGGUGAAAUUCGUAGAUAUUAGGAAGAACACCAGUGGCGAAGGCGGCUCACUGGUCCGGUACUGACGCUGAGACGCGAAAGCGUGGGGAGCAAACAGG